CGAGCGGACAGAUGGGAGCUUGCUCCCUGAUGUUAGCGGCGGACGGGUGAGUAACACGUGGGUAACCUGCCUGUAAGACUGGGAUAACUCCGGGAAACCGGGGCUAAUACCGGAUGGUUGUCUGAACCGCAUGGUUCAGACAUAAAAGGUGGCUUCGGCUACCACUUACAGAUGGACCCGCGGCGCAUUAGCUAGUUGGUGAGGUAACGGCUCACCAAGGCGACGAUGCGUAGCCGACCUGAGAGGGUGAUCGGCCACACUGGGACUGAGACACGGCCCAGACUCCUACGGGAGGCAGCAGUAGGGAAUCUUCCGCAAUGGACGAAAGUCUGACGGAGCAACGCCGCGUGAGUGAUGAAGGUUUUCGGAUCGUAAAGCUCUGUUGUUAGGGAAGAACAAGUGCCGUUCAAAUAGGGCGGCACCUUGACGGUACCUAACCAGAAAGCCACGGCUAACUACGUGCCAGCAGCCGCGGUAAUACGUAGGUGGCAAGCGUUGUCCGGAAUUAUUGGGCGUAAAGGGCUCGCAGGCGGUUUCUUAAGUCUGAUGUGAAAGCCCCCGGCUCAACCGGGGAGGGUCAUUGGAAACUGGGGAACUUGAGUGCAGAAGAGGAGAGUGGAAUUCCACGUGUAGCGGUGAAAUGCGUAGAGAUGUGGAGGAACACCAGUGGCGAAGGCGACUCUCUGGUCUGUAACUGACGCUGAGGAGCGAAAGCGUGGGGAGCGAACAGGAUUAGAUACCCUGGUAGUCCACGCCGUAAAC
This 762-nucleotide ribosomal RNA is filed under the name Bacillus amyloliquefaciens. Its description in RNAcentral is "bacterial SSU rRNA". It matches the Rfam family "Bacterial small subunit ribosomal RNA", at positions 63 to 807 of the family's 1533-position model. The record is from RNAcentral. Lineage: Bacteria; Bacillati; Bacillota; Bacilli; Caryophanales; Bacillaceae.